RNAcentral lists this ribosomal RNA (384 nucleotides) under Kumbadjena occidentalis. Its description in RNAcentral is "partial 16S ribosomal RNA". The stretch from base 260 to 384 matches the Rfam family "Bacterial large subunit ribosomal RNA", at positions 2473 to 2598 of the family's 2925-position model. Lineage: Eukaryota; Metazoa; Onychophora; Udeonychophora; Euonychophora; Peripatopsidae. The record is from RNAcentral.
CUUUAUAAAUUAAAGCUUGUAUGAAUGGUAUAAUGAAAAUAUAACUGUCUCUUUUUUAUAAAUAAAAUUUGCUUUUUCAGUGAAGAAGCUGAAGAUUUUUAGAAAGACGAUAAGACCCUAAUGAGUUUUAUAUAUAUAAUUAUAUAUAUAUAAUUAUAUAUAUUUUGUUGGGGUAAUAGAAGAAAAAAUCUUCUUUUAUAUUAAAAAAAUAAUAUUUAUUGAACCAUUAAUAAUGGAUAAAAGUUUAAAUUACCAUAGGGAUAACAGCAUAAUUCUUUUUAAGAGUACAUAUCGACAAAAGAGAUUGUGACCUCGAUGUUGAAUUAAGAGAAUUAUAUAAUGCAGAAAUUAUAUUAAUAAGUCUGUUCGACUUUUAAAUUCUUA